CUCCCUUACCUCGAUUCGGCCACGGCGGAGGAGGAGAACCACCGUGACCGAGAAGGAGGCGCGAGAGACCCAGGUACGAUCCUCUCUUUUUCCCCCCUCUUUUUCUUUCUUUAUUUUCUUUUAUUCUCUUUUUCACCUCCUCCCUCUGUGGUGGCGCCACCACCUCCUCACCGGAGGGAGGUGGGACUCGGCCAGGGCCUGACGGCCCUGCGGCCGCGUCGGGGUACCCUAGGGCAACCGCGGCUGAGCCUGCAGUGCCCUGGGUGCCUGGGCUCGGCCCGGAUUGGCCACUGGGCUUGGGCCGGGCCUGGUUGGGCUCGCAUUCUCCGUUCUUUUCUCCUUAUGUUUCACCAUUGAAACAGAGGGGAGAAGCCAUUUAGGCUAAAAGGACUCUGGUUUGCUACAAAGCUGGUUUCUGUAUCUAAGAUUUAGGACCCAAGAAGGGCUUUAAAUUGAACAACAAAGAAAAUGACAAAUUUGGCUCUACCGAUAUAUGCUAGAUGAGGCUAUACAACUAUGAGGAACUUUGACACUGACGAAUAAAAAAUGCUCAUGUUAAGAUCUUUCACAUUUAUAACGCCAUAAUAUUUAGAUAUGAUAGUGGAACAGUUAGAGAAAACUAGAAUGUUAGAAGGAUGUCUGUUUCAUGUGAACAAAAACUUUUCAACCCAAUCUGGACAGGGCCAUCUGUAGCACAUUGAGCUGAUAUUUUUACGAGACAGCCCCAUUCUAGAAUGUUGUGCUGAUUGUGAUUUGUGAAUAGUUUUCAAUAAUUAAUGGCACUCACGAAUCAUAUAAAAAGAUAUAGCUGACUUUUCAAUCUUUGGCCGAAUUGGUUCAGAAAUCAACAAUAAUGUCACUCCUACAGUCUAUGGGAAUACCUCCUGAUAUCUGCUGCCAUAUGUGUGCAUGCAGGAUAUUAAGUGAACUGCCACUGUGUCAACCUUGUGCAUAGACUAGUUAUAGUUGAAUGACAAAUCACC
This 983-nucleotide long non-coding RNA is filed under the name Phoenix dactylifera (date palm). RNAcentral's name for it is "long non-coding RNA (PDAC_LNC016596)". The record is from RNAcentral. Lineage: Eukaryota; Viridiplantae; Streptophyta; Magnoliopsida; Arecales; Arecaceae.